CACGUAGGGCGCAAGCGUUGUCCGGAAUUAUUGGGCGUAAAGAGCUCGUAGGCGGUCUGUUGCGUCCGCUGUGAAAACCCGGGGCUUAACCCCUGGCUUGCAGUGGAUACGGACAGACUAGAGGUAGGUAGGGGAGAAUGGAAUUCCCGGUGUAGCGGUGAAAUGCGCAGAUAUCGGGAGGAACACCGGUGGCGAAGGCGGCUCUCUGGGCCUUACCUGACGCUGAGGCACGAAAGCGUGGGGAGCAAACAGG
Molecule: ribosomal RNA, 253 nt
Filed under: uncultured bacterium
Lineage: Bacteria
Description: partial 16S ribosomal RNA
Rfam family: Bacterial small subunit ribosomal RNA
Source: RNAcentral